Molecule: transfer RNA, 64 nt
Filed under: Oides livida
Lineage: Eukaryota; Metazoa; Arthropoda; Insecta; Coleoptera; Chrysomelidae
Description: tRNA-Ser
Source: RNAcentral
AGUUAAUGAACUUGUAUAAAAGUAUAUAUUUUGAAAAUAUAAUAAAGAGAAUCUCUAUUAACUU